GACGUAGGGCGCGAGCGUUGUCCGGAUUUAUUGGGCGUAAAGAGCUCGUAGGCGGCUUGUUGCGUCGGCUGUGAAAACCCGUGGCUUAACUGCGGGCUUGCAGCUGAUACGGGCGGGCUAGAGUUCGGUAGGGGAGACUGGAAUUCCUGGUGUAGCGGUGAAAUGCGCAGAUAUCAGGAGGAACACCGAUGGCGAAGGCAGGUCUCUGGGCCACUACUGACGCUGAGAAGCGAAAGCAUGGGGAGCGAACAGG
RNAcentral lists this ribosomal RNA (253 nucleotides) under uncultured bacterium. RNAcentral describes it as "partial 16S ribosomal RNA". It matches the Rfam family "Bacterial small subunit ribosomal RNA", at positions 524 to 776 of the family's 1533-position model. The record is from RNAcentral.